This 158-nucleotide ribosomal RNA is filed under the name Rhizopus microsporus var. chinensis. RNAcentral describes it as "5.8S ribosomal RNA". It matches the Rfam family "5.8S ribosomal RNA". From Rfam's summary of the family: 5.8S ribosomal RNA (5.8S rRNA) is a component of the large subunit of the eukaryotic ribosome. The record is from RNAcentral. Lineage: Eukaryota; Fungi; Mucoromycota; Mucoromycetes; Mucorales; Rhizopodaceae. RNAcentral also lists the same sequence under 4 other names.
CAACUUUUAACAAUGGAUCUCUUGGUUCUCGCAUCGAUGAAGAACGUAGCAAAGUGCGAUAACUAGUGUGAAUUGCAUAUUCGUGAAUCAUCGAGUCUUUGAACGCAGCUUGCACUCUAUGGAUCUUCUAUAGAGUACGCUUGCUUCAGUAUCAUAAC